This 253-nucleotide ribosomal RNA is filed under the name uncultured bacterium. Its description in RNAcentral is "partial 16S ribosomal RNA". It matches the Rfam family "Bacterial small subunit ribosomal RNA", at positions 524 to 776 of the family's 1533-position model. The record is from RNAcentral.
GACGGAGGAUGCAAGCGUUAUCCGGAAUGAUUGGGCGUAAAGCGUCCGCAGGUGGCAGUUCAAGUCUGCUGUCAAAGACCGGGGCUUAACUUCGGAAAGGCAGUGGAAACUGGACAGCUAGAGUAUGGUAGGGGCAGAGGGAAUUCCUGGUGUAGCGGUGAAAUGCGUAGAGAUCAGGAAGAACAUCGGUGGCGAAGGCGCUCUGCUGGACCAUAACUGACACUCAGGGACGAAAGCUAGGGGAGCGAAUGGG